Molecule: ribosomal RNA, 1339 nt
Filed under: Mycobacterium sp. DWMJ-1229B2
Lineage: Bacteria; Bacillati; Actinomycetota; Actinomycetes; Mycobacteriales; Mycobacteriaceae
Description: bacterial SSU rRNA
Rfam family: Bacterial small subunit ribosomal RNA
Source: RNAcentral
CUUCGGGGUACUCGAGUGGCGAACGGGUGAGUAACACGUGGGUGAUCUGCCCUGCACUUUGGGAUAAGCCUGGGAAACUGGGUCUAAUACCGAAUAGGACCACGCGCUUCAUGGUGUGUGGUGGAAAGCUUUUGCGGUGUGGGAUGGGCCCGCGGCCUAUCAGCUUGUUGGUGGGGUAAUGGCCUACCAAGGCGACGACGGGUAGCCGGCCUGAGAGGGUGACCGGCCACACUGGGACUGAGAUACGGCCCAGACUCCUACGGGAGGCAGCAGUGGGGAAUAUUGCACAAUGGGCGCAAGCCUGAUGCAGCGACGCCGCGUGAGGGAUGACGGCCUUCGGGUUGUAAACCUCUUUCAAUAGGGACGAAGCGCAAGUGACGGUACCUAUAGAAGAAGCACCGGCCAACUACGUGCCAGCAGCCGCGGUAAUACGUAGGGUGCGAGCGUUGUCCGGAAUUACUGGGCGUAAAGAGCUCGUAGGUGGUUUGUCGCGUUGUUCGUGAAAACUCACAGCUUAACUGUGGGCGUGCGGGCGAUACGGGCAGACUAGAGUACUGCAGGGGAGACUGGAAUUCCUGGUGUAGCGGUGGAAUGCGCAGAUAUCAGGAGGAACACCGGUGGCGAAGGCGGGUCUCUGGGCAGUAACUGACGCUGAGGAGCGAAAGCGUGGGGAGCGAACAGGAUUAGAUACCCUGGUAGUCCACGCNGUAAACGGUGGGUACUAGGUGUGGGUUCCUUCCUUGGGAUCCGUGCCGUAGCUAACGCAUUAAGUACCCCGCCUGGGGAGUACGGCCGCAAGGCUAAAACUCAAAGGAAUUGACGGGGGCCCGCACAAGCGGCGGAGCAUGUGGAUUAAUUCGAUGCAACGCGAAGAACCUUACCUGGGUUUGACAUGCACAGGACGCCGGCAGAGAUGUCGGUUCCCUUGUGGCCUGUGUGCAGGUGGUGCAUGGCUGUCGUCAGCUCGUGUCGUGAGAUGUUGGGUUAAGUCCCGCAACGAGCGCAACCCUUGUCCUAUGUUGCCAGCGGGUUAUGCCGGGGACUCGUAGGAGACUGCCGGGGUCAACUCGGAGGAAGGUGGGGAUGACGUCAAGUCAUCAUGCCCCUUAUGUCCAGGGYUUCACACAUGCUACAAAUGGCCGGUACAAAGGGCUGCGAUGCCGUGAGGUGGAGCGAAUCCUUUCAAAGCCGGUCUCAGUUCGGAUCGGGGUCUGCAACUCGACCCCGUGAAGUCGGAGUCGCUAGUAAUCGCAGAUCAGCAACGCUGCGGUGAAUACGUUCCCGGGCCUUGUACACACCGCCCGUCACGUCAUGAAAGUCGGUAACACCCGAAGCCGGU